RNAcentral lists this ribosomal RNA (216 nucleotides) under Glomeromycotina sp. Its description in RNAcentral is "partial small subunit ribosomal RNA". The stretch from base 40 to 216 matches the Rfam family "Eukaryotic small subunit ribosomal RNA", at positions 686 to 864 of the family's 1831-position model. The record is from RNAcentral. Lineage: Eukaryota; Fungi; Glomeromycota.
GGGUCAUUAGGUUGGUCGUGCCACCGGUACGUACUGGUCUCACUGAUUCCUCCUUCCUGAAGAACCGUAAUGCCAUUAAUUUGGUGUUGCGGGGAAACAGGACUGUUACUUUGAAAGAAUUAGAGUGUUUAAAGCAAGCUAACGCUUGAAUACAUUAGCAUGGAAUAAUGAAAUAGGACGAUCGAUCCUAUUUUGUUGGUUUCUAGGAUUGACGUA